RNAcentral lists this long non-coding RNA (860 nucleotides) under Musa acuminata (dwarf banana). RNAcentral's name for it is "long non-coding RNA (MACU_LNC010926)". Lineage: Eukaryota; Viridiplantae; Streptophyta; Magnoliopsida; Zingiberales; Musaceae. The record is from RNAcentral.
GCUUUUCUUCUCCUUGAGACCAUCUAAGUUUCUUCAAUCGGCAAAAAGAAGGGUUAAGUGUUAUAAGGCUUUCAGAGAUAGGGACUCCAUCGAUGAGAAAGAGUGAUUCAGUGAAUCGGUGGAUCACACACGGAGACAGGGGCAGACCUAACAAUUGAUAUUGUAGAAUCUGUGUUGAAAGAGAAAUAACCCACUGGGGGCAAGAGUAAACUAUAAGGAAUAGGAUCGAAAAGCGUCCUACUAAAGAAGUGAGCAAGCAAGCCGAAGACAGACCAGACCCAUCUUUCCAACUAAGUCCAAGUAAAGGAACCUUUAAUGGAAUUGACGAUGUCUUCCGUCAUCAGCAAGCGGUGGCCGACAAAGCGCUUUUCCCUGCAAUUGGAGAUACAGAGUUUCUCAAUUAUACUAUAGGGAGUUUCACGUCUUAUUCUUAUGAGUAGACUAUGUUCUCAUAUAAGCCAGAAGCAAGCAUUCCAUAAAGGGUUAUAUUCAUUAUUGCAAGUUCAAGUCGUCCUGUCUGUUUUCGUUCCUUUCUCCGCCAGUUAAGAACAAGUCCUGUGUUUGGGAGCUAACUCAUUACAGACUACAACACUGCCUGCUAAGACCGAAGCUGGGUAUGCUCGGGCUGAUACUGGUACCACCGAGACAGGAGCUAGGGCUACUAAGGCUGCUACUGGUGCUACUCGGAAUGGAGCUGACUAAUAUCGGACUGCAGCUAUGUAGUUAGAGAAUGAAGCGGGUAAGUGGUUCUCGGUUUAGACCGAUCAAAAAGAUAGAUAAUUUUACCAAAGACAGGACUUCCCUCUUUCGAAACUUUCUCCUUAAUAAUAAUAUAAUGAAUUUAGUAUAGGCCAAGUAGA